Saimiri boliviensis boliviensis (Bolivian squirrel monkey) is the source of this 466-nucleotide non-coding RNA. NCBI's taxonomy places the organism in Eukaryota, Metazoa, Chordata, Mammalia, Primates, Cebidae. The record is from RefSeq and is a predicted model, not a curated record.
AAUUCUAGACCUGUGGACCAGAUGGUGGGUAAGGUCUUUUCUAGUUUUAUGACCUAUGCCACCCUGACACCAGAAAAUAGCACUGAAUGAUGCUGACAGAUGUGAAAGUAGAGCAACUUGCAUAGUCAUAAUUAGCUGUGCAUUAUUAGAAAAGCUUUAAGUGCUGAAAAAACUAACUUGCUUUAAGUCAUGCUACUUCUAAAAAACAAAUAAAUUUCAGUGUGAUUAGAAUUAAAUCUAGGAGUAAUAGAUGGCUUUUCACAAGCUUUUAAACAUACACACACAAAAAGUAGUGCUUUGAGAAAAAUGUCAAUGAGAUAACACUAGCCUCUAGGAUCAUUUAUCAUCUUCAGCACAGCUAGAUAGAGACCUCACAGACAGUGCUUCCCUUAAUGGCCACUCAGCAGGGUCUCGAUCCAUCUGUUUCCAUUAAAAGGAAGAGGAAGUGUUUUAUUUAUAGAAUGAC